Non-coding RNA from Xyrichtys novacula (pearly razorfish), 808 nucleotides. NCBI's taxonomy places the organism in Eukaryota, Metazoa, Chordata, Actinopteri, Labriformes, Labridae. The record is from the annotation of a GenBank genome assembly.
CAUGGUAAUAAAUGUAUUCAGGAGUACUAAAUUUCUGCCUGGCAUGUUGUUGAUACUAUUGUAGUCAAUGAUACUAAUAAUUAAGCAUCAUAAUUACAGGGAAGGAACAGUAUAACUGUGGAAAACACUUAUUUAUUUGCAGGAUAGACAGUUUAAAACAAAUCUAAAAAUGCUUAUGACAACAGUGUAUUAUUGGUACCUAUUUACAAUUCAAGGUUGGGAAGGAUUAUUUCAUGGUAUGGCCUCAUAACAUUUGCAGUGUCUCUCAUUUUCAUUUGCCUGUCUUGGGCACCCAUUUGGGUGCUCCUGGCAGAUCUCUGAAGCACCAAUGUACUGUCAGGGGUGUGGAUGUAGGACCCAAGUGCAGCACAAUGGCAGGUAGUUGUUUAGAAGAUACUUUUAUUGUAACAGUUCAAACAAAAAAAGGUAACUGAAGAUACUGGGAUUGAUUUAGCAGUCUCUGUAGAACCUCCAAGACCAACAGGAAACAGGUCCAACAGGCAGAUAGGUGAGUGCACACAGAAAGCACACUACACCUGAGAGUCUUUGUGAAGUGCAGCGGCACUGUCGAGGGGCAGGCUGGGCUCGUGUUCGAAGCGGAGGCAAUGUUGAAUCCAGGCAGACAAUCAGCGGGGCAGACUAACUCCAGAGGGAUCAGACGGAAGGAUAGUCGUGGACAGGCAGUAGGUUGGGAAGCCAGAAACACAGCAAAACCUGAAGUUCUCACCGGAGCGAAGAAACUUGACAGGGGAUCCAAGGGCUGAGACGAUAAGACGUGGUCAGAGACAGGCAGGAGUCGAAACCGAGA